This 89-nucleotide unclassified non-coding RNA is filed under the name Pseudomonas thivervalensis. The record is from RNAcentral. Lineage: Bacteria; Pseudomonadati; Pseudomonadota; Gammaproteobacteria; Pseudomonadales; Pseudomonadaceae.
UGUGGGAGCGAGCUUGCUCGCGAUAGCUGCGUGUCAGUCAACAACAAGGCUACUGAUCCGCCGCUAUCGCGAGCAAGCUCGCUCCCACA